UCGAUUCCCGGCUGGUGCACCA
RNAcentral lists this microRNA (22 nucleotides) under Gallus gallus (chicken). RNAcentral describes it as "microRNA Ros-gga". Lineage: Eukaryota; Metazoa; Chordata; Aves; Galliformes; Phasianidae. The record is from RNAcentral.